AGAGAGAGAGAGGAGCUCGCAGAGGAGAGAGAAACACAAUGGCUAGGAAUAGGAGAGUCUCGCAAGGAGGGAGAGCUGGUACGCCUCCGCCGUUGUCGCAAGCUGCGCCACCGCGCCUCUGGUCACCGGGAUCGCGCUGACGUCGUCGGAAGCCGCUGUUGGAAACUCUGCAAGUUUGCCCUAGCUCAGCUUUGCUUCUGCCUGUUCUGUCCUUGCCGGUGGGGGGUCACCGGAGCUGCUGAUGCUCCAUCCUCUUAUUUCCUUUGUGAGAAAUCGAAGUUGUUGCUACUACCUCGAUCCAAAUUUCGUGCUCUUUCAUUCCAUUCUACUUCAACCUUCCUCACCUUUUCUCUUGGCACUCUGGUUUGGUUUCUUCGGUCCCUUGGGACCAAUUUGAAUAAAUAUUUGAUUAUGUGAGCCUUUCUAUUCAAGUGUAAUGAUCUGCAAUGGGUAUCUAUUCGUUGUUGAGUUCUUAGACGUCAUCUGCUCCAUAUGUCACAGGCAGGAUCCACCCAUAUUUAUUUUAUUUUUUGUUUGUUAAAAAUAUGUAAUUAUUCAUUUUA
Molecule: non-coding RNA, 563 nt
Organism: Arachis ipaensis
Lineage: Eukaryota; Viridiplantae; Streptophyta; Magnoliopsida; Fabales; Fabaceae
Source: RefSeq, a predicted model, not a curated record